CUGGAGCAACUAAUCUUGGUCCUUCCGAGACACGAUCCAAAUUUAGCUCGACCCUCCUGACGUCAACUCGGUAUUAAGCCUGACCUGAGCCCAUGCCAGCCCGAUGGGAGUCCAGCUUUGCCGACAAAGUGCAGCAAGCCCAGGCAGGAGAACACAUGACACCAACAAAUUCCAAGGAAGCUUCUUAAUGAUCGUAUAAGACCGCAAUACUAGCUGCAUCUUAACGGCUAAGUUCACACACAGAGUACAGUACAGGUUUAGCUAGCAAUACUAUACUUACUGCACACACACAUGACCUAGAUUCCCAGUUCAUUUAAAGACCCCACAUGGCAUGGACUCGAUCGACGCAACGACGCACACGGUUCCGGCAGAUUCCCCAAUUCCUCCCCAAGUUUUUAUAAGUCAAGAUCACAUCACCAUACAUGAAUUUAAUGCCCAAAAUCAGGUCAACUUGAAGCUAUUACUACUACGAUGUUCGAAACCAAAGAAAAAAAAAUUAACUAGCUG
This 507-nucleotide long non-coding RNA is filed under the name Brachypodium distachyon (stiff brome). RNAcentral's name for it is "long non-coding RNA (BDIS_LNC003161)". The record is from RNAcentral. Lineage: Eukaryota; Viridiplantae; Streptophyta; Magnoliopsida; Poales; Poaceae.